UACAGAGGUCUCAAGCGUUGUUCGGAUUUAUUGGGCGUAAAGAGCGUGUAGGCGGCCUGGCAAGUCCGCUGUGAAAACUCGAGGCUUAACCUCGAGACGUCGGUGGAAACUGCCUGGCUAGAGUCCGGAAGAGGAGAGUGGAAUUCCUGGUGUAGCGGUGAAAUGCGCAGAUAUCAGGAAGAACACCCGUGGCUAAGGCGGCUCUCUAGUACGGUACUGACGCUGAGACGCGAAAGCGUGGGUAGCGAACAGG
Molecule: ribosomal RNA, 253 nt
Filed under: uncultured bacterium
Lineage: Bacteria
Description: partial 16S ribosomal RNA
Rfam family: Bacterial small subunit ribosomal RNA
Source: RNAcentral